CGGUCAAGUUUUUAAGAGCAUAGGGUGAAUGCCUUGGCACUAGAAGCCGAUGAAGGACGGGGUAAGCGCCGAUACGUCUCGGGGAGCCGCAAGCAGGCUUUGAUCCGGGAAUUUCCGAAUGGGGAAACCCACCUAAAUAAACUUUAGGUAUCAAUUACUGAAUACAUAGGUAAUUGAGGGAACACUGGGAGAACUGAAACAUCUAAGUACCCCAAGGAAGAGAAAGAAAAAUCGAUUCCCUUAGUAGCGGCGAGCGAAAUGGGAAAAGCCCAAACCAGUAAGGGUUUCCUUUACUGGGGUUGUGGACAUUGCCGUUAAGAAAAGAAUCGAGUAAUCGAAGGGUCUGGAAAGAUCCACCAUAGAAGGUGAAAGUCCUGUAGAUGAAGCUCAUAUUCUUUUUGGUUUUGUUCCAGAGUACCACGGAACACGAGAAACUCUGUGGGAAGCUGGGGGGACCACCCCCCAAGGCUAAAUACUUUCUAGUGACCGAUAGCGUAUAGUACCGUGAGGGAAUGGUGAAAAGAACCCCGGAAGGGGAGUGAAAUAGAACCUGAAACCCUAUGUUUACAAGCAGUGGAAGCUCUUUUUACGAGCGACCGCGUACUUUUUGUAGAACGGGCCAACGAGUUACGAUAUAUAGCAAGGUUAAGGACUUAAGGUCUGAAGCCGUAGGGAAACCAAGUCUUAAUAGGGCGACUAAGUUAUAUGUCGUAGACCCGAAACCGGGUGACCUAUCCAUGGGCAGGAUGAAGCGGAAGUAAAAUUUCGUGGAGGUCCGAACCGUUUAGCGUUGAAAAGCUAUCGGAUGACCUGUGGAUAGCGGUGAAAUUCCAAUCGAACCCGGAGAUAGCUGGUUCUCCUCGAAAUAGCUUUAGGGCUAGCCUUAAGAUUAGUGACGUGGAGGUAGAGCACUGAAUGGCUAAGGGGCACUUUGUGUUACUAAAGCCUAUCAAACUCCGAAUGCCAUAGUCAUAUUCUUAGGAGUCAGACUGCGGGUGAUAAGAUUCGUAGUCGAAAGGGAAACAGCCCAGACCGUCAGCUAAGGUCCCAAAGUGUAAGUUAAGUGGAAAAGGAUGUAAGACUACACAGACAACCAGGAUGUUGGCUUAGAAGCAGCCAUUCAUUUAAAGAGUGCGUAAUAGCUCACUGGUCGAGUGGUUUUGCGCCGAAAAUGUCCGGGGCUCAAACUUACCACCGAAGCUACGGAACGCUUUAUGCGUUGGUAGAGGAGCAUUGUAUAUGGAUUGAAGUUACACCGGAAGGAGUAGUGGACUAUAUACAAGAGAGAAUGUUGGCAUGAGUAGCGAAAGGAAGGUGAGAAUCCUUCCCAUCGAAAGCCCAAGGUUUCCUGAGGAAGGCUCGUCCUCUCAGGGUUAGUCGGGGCCUAAGCCGAGGCGAUAUGCGUAGGCGAUGGAUAACAGGUUGAGAUUCCUGUACUACCUCUUUGCGUUUGAGAGAUGGGGUGACACAGUAGGAUAUGUUAUCACACCGUUGGUUUGGUGUGUCUAAGUAAGUAGGGAGUUUUAGUAGGUAAAUCCGCUAAAACAAUUCUGAGAUACGAAUGGGAGCGAAAUUUAAGUAGCGAACUAACUGAUUCCACACUGUCAAGAAAAGCCUCUAUCGAGUAAAUAGGUACCCGUACCGUAAACCGACACAGGUAGGCGAGAUGAAAAUUCUAAGAUGAGCGAGAUAACCAUUGUUAAGGAACUCGGCAAAAUGACCCCGUAACUUCGGGAGAAGGGGUGCCGGAUAAGGUGAUAAGAUUUACUCUUAAAGCCUAGUCCGGCCGCAGAGAAUAGGCCCAAGCGACUGUUUAGCAAAAACACAGGUCUCUGCUAAGUUGAAAGACGAAGUAUAGGGGCUGACACCUGCCCGGUGCUGGAAGGUUAAUGGGACUGCUUAGGAGUAAUCCGAAGGCAUGAACUUAAGCCCCAGUGAACGGCGGCCGUAACUAUAACGGUCCUAAGGUAGCGAAAUUCCUUGUCGGGUAAGUUCCGACCCGCACGAAAGGUGUAACGAUUUGGGCACUGUCUCAACAAUGGACUCGGUGAAAUUGUAGUACCAGUGAAGAUGCUGGUUACCCGCGGCAGGACGGAAAGACCCCGUGGAGCUUUACUGCAAGCUGACAUUGGAUUUUGGUAUUAUUUGUACAGGAUAGGUGGGAGACUUGGAAGUCAGGGCGCUAGCCUUGAUGGAGUCAUCCUUGGGAUACCACUCUUGUAAUACUAAAAUUCUAACCACAGACCGUGAAUCCGGUCUUGGGACACUGUCAGUUGGGCAGUUUGACUGGGGCGGUCGCCUCCUAAAAGGUAACGGAGGCGCUCAAAGGUUCCCUCAGCACGGUCGGAAAUCGUGCGAAGAGUGUAAAGGCAUAAGGGAGCUUGACUGCGAGAGAUACAUCUCGAGCAGGAACGAAAGUUGGACUUAGUGAUCCGGUGGUUCCGAGUGGAAGGGCCAUCGCUCAACGGAUAAAAGCUACCCCGGGGAUAACAGGCUUAUCUCCCCCAAGAGUCCACAUCGACGGGGAGGUUUGGCACCUCGAUGUCGGCUCGUCUCAUCCUGGGGCUGUAGUAGGUCCCAAGGGUUGGGCUGUUCGCCCAUUAAAGAGGCACGCGAGCUGGGUUCAGAACGUCGUGAGACAGUUCGGUCCCUAUCCGCCGUGGGCGCAGGAAAUUUGAAAGGAGCUGUCCCUAGUACGAGAGGACCGGGAUGGACAUACCGCUGGUGCAUCAGUUGUUCUGCCAAGAGCAUAGCUGAGUAGCUAAGUAUGGAAAUGAUAAGCGCUGAAGGCAUCUAAGCGCGAAGCAUCCCUUAAGAUUAGAUUUCCCAUCACAUUAGUGAGUAAGACCCCAGAUUAGACUAUCUGGUUGAUAGGUCUCAGGUGUAAUAGUAGCAAUACUUUUAGCUUAGGGAUACUAAUAGGUCGAGGACUUGACCAAU
RNAcentral lists this ribosomal RNA (2940 nucleotides) under Senegalia massiliensis. Its description in RNAcentral is "23S ribosomal RNA". It matches the Rfam family "Bacterial large subunit ribosomal RNA". The record is from RNAcentral. Lineage: Bacteria; Bacillati; Bacillota; Clostridia; Eubacteriales; Clostridiaceae.